AGAGUUUGAUCAUGGCUCAGAACGAACGCUGGCGGCAUGGAUUAGGCAUGCAAGUCGAACGGGAGCAGCAAUGCUCCAGUGGCGCAAGGGUGAGGAACACGUGAACAACCUGCCUUCGAGUUGGGGAUAGCUUCUGGAAACGGGAGAUAAUACCGAAUAACAUCAUUUGGUCGCAUGACUGAAUGAUCAAAGCAGCAAUGCGCUUGAAGAGGGGUUCGCGUCCCAUUAGCUAGUUGGUGAGGUAACGGCCCACCAAGGCGAUGAUGGGUAGCUGGUCUGAGAGGACGAUCAGCCACAUUGGGACUGAGAUACUGCCCAGACUCCUACGGGAGGCUGCAGUCGAGAAUUUUGGGCAAUGGACGAAAGUCUGACCCAGCAAUGCCGCGUGCGGGAUGAAGGUCUUCGGAUUGUAAACCGCUGUCAAGAGGGACGAAGAUUGACGGUACCUCUGGAGGAAGCCACGGCUAACUACGUGCCAGCAGCCGCGGUAAUACGUAGGUGGCGAGCGUUGUUCGGAUUUAUUGGGCGUAAAGGGUCCGCAGGUGGUUGGAUAAGUUUGACGUGAAAUCCCAGAGCUCAACUCUGGAACUGCGUUGAAAACUGUCUGACUAGAGUAUCGGAGAGGAGAUUGGAAUUCCAGGUGUAGCGGUGGAAUGCGUAGAUAUCUGGAAGAACACCGAAAGCGAAGGCAGAUCUCUGGACGAUAACUGACACUCAGGGACGAAAGUAUGGGGAUCAAACAGGAUUAGAUACCCUGGUAGUCCAUACCCUAAACGUUGUCAACUUGAUGUGAGAAGUAGUUUACUCCUUUUCGUGUCGAAGCAAACGCGAUAAGUUGACCGCCUGGGAACUACGGCCGCAAGGCUAAAACUCAAAGGAAUUGACGGGGGCCCGCACAAGCGGUGGAGCAUGUGGCUUAAUUCGAGGCAACGCGAAGAACCUUACCUGGAUUUGACAUGGAUUGGCUACCGGUAGAAAUACCGGGUCCCGCAAGGGCCGAUUCACAGGUGCUGCAUGGCUGUCGUCAGCUCGUGCCGUGAGGUGUUCGGUUAAGUCCGGCAACGAGCGCAACCCACGUUAGUAGUUGCCAGCAGGUAAAGCUGGGCACUCUACUGAUACUGCCCGUGUUAAGCGGGAGGAAGGAGUGGAUGAUGUCAAGUCCGUAUGGCCUUUAUAUCCAGGGCUGCACACGUGCUACAAUGGCUGCUACAGAGGGAAGCGAAAUCGCGAGAUGGAGCAGAUCCGUAAAAACAGCCCUAGUUCGGAUUGCAGGCUGCAACUCGCCUGCAUGAAGCCGGAAUCGCUAGUAAAGGCGUAUCAGCCACGACGCCUUGAAUACGUUCCCGGGCCUUGUACACACCGCCCGUCACAUCAUGGGAGUUGAUUGCACCCGAAGCUGCUGACCGAACCUGCAAAGGACGGAGGCAUCUAAGGUGUGGUUAAUGACUGGGAUGAAGUCGUAACAAGGUAGCCGUUGGGGAACCAGCGGCUGGAUCACCUCCUU
This 1504-nucleotide ribosomal RNA is filed under the name uncultured bacterium. Its description in RNAcentral is "bacterial SSU rRNA". It matches the Rfam family "Bacterial small subunit ribosomal RNA". The record is from RNAcentral.